AUUUUAGGAUGAGGGAACAAACCCUGAAGGUGUGAACAAGCUCGGUGCAUCUAGACAUGUAAGGAAGGUUCCAGCAUGUGAAGGAGCGAGGACGGAGAAGGGUCCGGUGAGGUCUUACAGCAACAGAGGGUCCAGCCACAUGAGGCUGAGCAGCCAAGCUGGGAAAGCGGAAAUCUGGAGAACUAAAAUAUCUUGCUGAAGAUCACAAUGCAGUAAAGCAUAGGGCUGUGCUUAUGAAGUCCCAACAUGUCUUCUGGGCUGUGUUUUCAACCAAGAGAGUUAAUAAAAAGUGGGAUGGGCACCAACUAUGCCUCCAGAGACAUCAGGCAGAAUAUGCCACAGCGUGCCAUGUCCUCCUGCAAACAGUCAGAAAGAAAAGAUCUCUAAAAGCAGAUUGGAAGAGACUAUAUAUACAGAGCGAGUGCCGGUACAGAAGUUUUGCUGCAAAUACACCCUCUAAUCCCUUGCAACCCACUGCAAGCUCGAGAGACCAGUGCCCUUGGUAAAACAUAGGAGAGAUCAUUAAUUAAAGCCUAGGCCCUUUCUUUGAUCCUGAGGGAUAAGGCUUGGGAAAAUGCACAGUGAUAAAAGUGAACAUUUUAAAAGAGCAGAGUGAGUGUGAAUUCCCAAAGAGACCAUUCAUAUCAAGACCCAAGCCAUGAGAAAAUGCUACAAUGCCCUUGAUCAAUACUUUAUAGGCAUUUUGACCUCAGAUCUAAUCCCAUGAGGCUUAGACCAAGACCUUGCUUGAUGCAGACCUCUCUGACUGCUGAAAUUGGUCAGGAGCUCAGUGAUGAAAAUUUGGAAAGUCAAUGCUGAUACCUGAAGAAAGUCCCAUCAGAGAUCUGUGACCUGAAUCUUCAUAACUUUCACAGGCCCUUUCUAAAUGCCAAGGAGGAUGUGUGUGGAGAAGAAUAUGCCACCUAUGGCAUCCCAAUAUGCCUGUGCCCGCCUGCUCUUCAACAAGGGAAUGAAACCUGGGUAUUCUCAUAGGUUUUUUAAAGCACUUGUCCACAUAUUUUAUUCCGCAAAUAACACAAUUUAAAAUUCAGCUAGAAUUUGCCAUUUUCUGUCAGGGUUGUGCAUUUCUUCCAGUCACCAUGACUUCCUGAGAUAGCCAAAACACAAAAUUUAAAUUGUGUUUAAAUUAAAUAAACACAAUUUAUGCUGAAGCUGACUUU
This is a long non-coding RNA of Homo sapiens (human), 1181 nucleotides long. Lineage: Eukaryota; Metazoa; Chordata; Mammalia; Primates; Hominidae. The record is from Ensembl.